UGCCUCCGCCUCUGCUUUUUCGAUUGUCUGCCUUCCUCCUCCUCCUCUGCUUUUUCGAUUGUCUACCUUCCUCCUUCUCCUCCUACUUGGCUCUUCUCCUCAGCUAUCAGCUAUUUCAUACCCAGAAGUGUUGGAUCCUGAGCAAGCAGUGAAAGGGCUAUCUGGUGUGAAUUGGAAUAAAUAAAAAAAAUUUGCUGGGUUUUUGAGACUUGUGAUGUUAUUCAUCAGUAUUCAUGCCUGGUUUCUUCUUGCAAUAAUUUUGUUGAUUGUUGUAGGAAACUCCGCUCUCAAACAUAGGCAAUGAACAAUUGAGUUGACAUGCUGCUGGGAGAAUUGUUUGCAAUGCAGAGAAGACUUGUCUCUUACUUUUGUGAUGAUGAACUGGGUGAGAUUCUUUAAGAGUGAUGUGUCAUAUUUGAAUUUUUGAAUAUCAUAUUUUAGUUUUGUUUUUAAGUUUUGAACUUUGUUCUAUUUCAGCAUCCUAUAGACCUGUGUUAACUUAUAUCUACAUGUGAUAUGGAUAUAACUUAUGCUUUCAAAUUAAUUUGACUUGUGUUAUAUCUUGUUUCGUACCUUUGUUUCGAAAAUUUCUUUGUAAAGACCAAAAAGAAUAGUGUGUUUUUAUCAUGAAUGAUGUAUGGACAAAUUGGAAUGUGUUGAAUAUGAUGCAAGCUGGUGUUACAGAGCAUGAUAUCCAAUAUGAUGAUGUAUGGGUGCAUGUAAUAUUAACCCAUAUUAACUCUGUUAAGGAAAUAGGGAAAAAGGCCAUGGCAUUGAAAUCAGUAUUGCUAGUCUUCUGUACAUCCUAUGUAUUUAUUAAGACGUGGGUAUUU
Long non-coding RNA from Prunus persica (peach), 833 nucleotides. RefSeq lists it as uncharacterized. The transcript has 3 exons. Lineage: Eukaryota; Viridiplantae; Streptophyta; Magnoliopsida; Rosales; Rosaceae. The record is from RefSeq and is a predicted model, not a curated record.